RNAcentral lists this long non-coding RNA (202 nucleotides) under Linum usitatissimum (flax). RNAcentral describes it as "long non-coding RNA (LUSI_LNC004449)". Lineage: Eukaryota; Viridiplantae; Streptophyta; Magnoliopsida; Malpighiales; Linaceae. The record is from RNAcentral.
AGAGAGUAUAUAAUAUAAAGCGACGGAUUCAGAAUGGUUCAAUACAUUAUCACAAAUUACAGUAAGAAUUUAAAUACAUUAGAUCAUAUAUAAAAAAAUAUAAAUAAAAAAAAUUACAUAACAUUAAAAUUCAAAAUAAAAAAUACACAGGCCAGAACCUUUAAGGCCUCCUGAAUCGGCCACUGAUUAUUUAUCGUUCCCA